Molecule: ribosomal RNA, 468 nt
Filed under: uncultured bacterium
Lineage: Bacteria
Description: partial 16S ribosomal RNA
Rfam family: Bacterial small subunit ribosomal RNA
Source: RNAcentral
GACGAACGCUGGCGGCGUGCUUAACACAUGCAAGUCGAACGGAAAGGCCCUGCUUUUGUGGGGUGCUCGAGUGGCGAACGGGUGAGUAACACGUGAGUAACCUGCCCUUGACUUUGGGAUAACUUCAGGAAACUGGGGCUAAUACCGGAUAGGAGCUCCUGCUGCAUGGUGGGGGUUGGAAAGUUUCGGCGGUUGGGGUUGGACUCGCGGCUGACGAGCUUGUUGGUGGGGUAGGGGCUUACCAAGGCUUUGACGGGUAGCCCGCCCGUGAGGGUGAACGGCCACAUUGGGCCUACGGUACGGCCCAGACUCCUACGGGAGGCAGCAGUGGGGAGUAUUGCACAAUGGGCGGAAGCCUGAUGCAGCAACGCCGCGUGCGGGAUGACGGCCUUCGGGUUGUAAACCGCUUUCGCCUGUGACGAAGCGUGAGUGACGGUAAUGGGUAAAGAAGCACCGGCUAACUACGUG